GGACGGGGCCCGCACAAGCGGUGGAGCAUGUUGGUUUAAUUCGAAGCAACGCGAAGAACCUUACCAGGUCUUGACAUCCCGAUGCUAUUUCUAGAGAUAGAAAGUUACUUCGGUACAUCGGUGACAGGUGGUGCAUGGUUGUCGUCAGCUCGUGUCGUGAGAUGUUGGGUUAAGUCCCGCAACGAGCGCAACCCCUAUUGUUAGUUGCCAUCAUUCAGUUGGGCACUCUAGCGAGACUGCCGGUAAUAAACCGGAGGAAGUGGGGAUGACGUCAAAUCAUCAUGCCCCUUAUGACCUGGGCUACACACGUGCUACAAUGGUUGGUACAACGAGUUGCGAGUCGGUGACGGCGAGCUAAUCUCUUAAAGCCAAUCUCAGUUCGGAUUGUAGGCUGCAACUCGCCUACAUGAAGUCGGAAUCGCUAGUAAUCGCGGAUCAGCACGCCGCGGUGAAUACGUUCCCGGGCCUU
This 469-nucleotide ribosomal RNA is filed under the name uncultured Streptococcus sp. RNAcentral's name for it is "bacterial SSU rRNA". It matches the Rfam family "Bacterial small subunit ribosomal RNA", at positions 916 to 1381 of the family's 1533-position model. Lineage: Bacteria; Bacillati; Bacillota; Bacilli; Lactobacillales; Streptococcaceae. The record is from RNAcentral.